GGAGCUGAUCGCUGAGUCCGUCCUCUCCUCCUUCAGAUCAGAAGGAUUUAAUUUCUCCUCGUCUGGCAGAGAGGAUGUGGACGUCCGGACUCUGGGAACCGGUCGUCCGUUUGCGAUGGAGCUGCUGAAUCCUCACAGAUCCAAACUGAGCCGAGCGGAGAUGAAGCUGCUGCAGGAGACAAUCAACAAUUCUUCAGACAAAAUCAAAGUGAGAGACCUGCAGAUUGUGUCCAGGUGAGAAAAUAUGAAACU
Long non-coding RNA from Notothenia coriiceps (black rockcod), 252 nucleotides. RefSeq lists it as uncharacterized. The transcript is spliced from 4 exons. The record is from RefSeq and is a predicted model, not a curated record. Lineage: Eukaryota; Metazoa; Chordata; Actinopteri; Perciformes; Nototheniidae.